CCACCUCCACCACCUCCUCCCCCUCCUCAAGACCUUCCUCCUCCUCCCCAGCCAGCGCCCUACAAUACCACGAGAAAAAGUCGCGCCAAUAAAACUCAAGAAACAAUCCCUUGGUGAACUUCAUGGUGUACGGCGCGGUGGUGCUAGGCCUCCUGGCCAUCUUCACCCUGGCCGUCAUGUUUGCCUACGCGAUGGCAGGUAGAAAUUCUUGGCGAGGAAGAGAGGACCGGACAGAGGACGACCUUGGCGUCUACAGGCCACGUCUGACCGAUCACCCUGGGCUUCGGAGGAGGGCCUCAAUAGUUGCACCCUCGCCCAACAAGGCGUCGGAGUCACAUCUGCCCCGCGGUAGUAACGACGAAGACCAUCGUGCGGCCUGAUGCUUGCGAUACUUUUCGUCUCGGCACGCCAAUUUCUUACCAAUUUAGGCUUAUCGCUUUGACGAAUAAAGCGCCCGCGCUGCAUGUCAGCGAUAGCG
Rhipicephalus sanguineus (brown dog tick) is the source of this 478-nucleotide long non-coding RNA. RefSeq lists it as uncharacterized. Lineage: Eukaryota; Metazoa; Arthropoda; Arachnida; Ixodida; Ixodidae. The record is from RefSeq and is a predicted model, not a curated record. The transcript is spliced from 3 exons.